Molecule: ribosomal RNA, 1960 nt
Filed under: human gut metagenome
Description: bacterial LSU rRNA
Rfam family: Bacterial large subunit ribosomal RNA
Source: RNAcentral
UUAAGCGACUAAGCGUACACGGUGGAUGCCCUGGCAGUCAGAGGCGAUGAAGGACGUGCUAAUCUGCGAAAAGCGCCGGCGAGGUGAUAUGAACCUUUGACCCGGCGAUGUCCGAAUGGGGAAACCCAGUGCAAUUCGUUGCACUAUCGUUAACUGAAUACAUAGGUUAACGAGGCGAACCGGGGGAACUGAAACAUCUAAGUACCCCGAGGAAAAGAAAUCAACCGAGAUUCCCCCAGUAGCGGCGAGCGAACGGGGAGCAGCCCAGAGUCUGAAUCAGCUUGUGUGUUAGUGGAACGGUCUGGAAAGUCCGACGGUACAGGGUGAUAGUCCCGUACACCAAAAUGCACAGGUUGUGAACUCGAAGAGUAGGGCGGGACACGUGGUAUCCUGUCUGAAUAUGGGGGGACCAUCCUCCAAGGCUAAAUACUCCUGACUGACCGAUAGUGAACCAGUACCGUGAGGGAAAGGCGAAAAGAACCCCGGCGAGGGGAGUGAAAAAGAACCUGAAACCGUGUACGUACAAGCAGUGGGAGCACCUUCGGGUGUGACUGCGUACCUUUUGUAUAAUGGGUCAGCGACUUAUAUUCUGUAGCAAGGUUAACCGUAUAGGGGAGCCGAAGGGAAACCGAGUCUUAACUGGGCGUUAAGUUGCAGGGUAUAGACCCGAAACCCGGUGAUCUAGCCAUGGGCAGGUUGAAGGUUGGGUAACACUAACUGGAGGACCGAACCGACUAAUGUUGAAAAAUUAGCGGAUGACUUGUGGCUGGGGGUGAAAGGCCAAUCAAACCGGGAGAUAGCUGGUUCUCCCCGAAAGCUAUUUAGGUAGCGCCUCGUGAACUCAUCUUCGGGGGUAGAGCACUGUUUCGGCUAGGGGGCCAUCCCGGCUUACCAACCCGAUGCAAACUACGAAUACCGAAGAAUGUUAUCACGGGAGACACACGGCGGGUGCUAACGUCCGUCGUGAAGAGGGAAACAACCCAGACCGCCAGCUAAGGUCCCAAAGUCAUGGUUAAGUGGGAAACGAUGUGGGAAGGCACAGACAGCCAGGAUGUUGGCUUAGAAGCAGCCAUCAUUUAAAGAAAGCGUAAUAGCUCACUGGUCGAGUCGGCCUGCGCGGAAGAUGUAACGGGGCUAAACCAUGCACCGAAGCUGCGGCAGCGACGCUUAUGCGUUGUUGGGUAGGGGAGCGUUCUGUAAGCCUGCGAAGGUGGCCUGUGAGGGUUGCUGGAGGUAUCAGAAGUGCGAAUGCUGACAUAAGUAACGAUAAAGCGGGUGAAAAGCCCGCUCGCCGGAAGACCAAGGGUUCCUGUCCAACGUUAAUCGGGGCAGGGUGAGUCGACCCCUAAGGCGAGGCCGAAAGGCGUAGUCGAUGGGAAACAGGUUAAUAUUCCUGUACUUGGUGUUACUGCGAAGGGGGGACGGAGAAGGCUAUGUUAGCCGGGCGACGGUUGUCCCGGUUUAAGCAUGUAGGCGGAGGUUCCAGGUAAAUCCGGUACCUUUUAACGCUGAGGUGUGAUGACGAGGCACUACGGUGCUGAAGUAACAAAUGCCCUGCUUCCAGGAAAAGCCUCUAAGCAUCAGGUAACAUCAAAUCGUACCCCAAACCGACACAGGUGGUCAGGUAGAGAAUACCAAGGCGCUUGAGAGAACUCGGGUGAAGGAACUAGGCAAAAUGGUGCCGUAACUUCGGGAGAAGGCACGCUGAUAUGUAGGUGAAGCCCCUGCGGGUGGAGCUGAAAUCAGUCGAAGAUACCAGCUGGCUGCAACUGUUUAUUAAAAACACAGCACUGUGCAAACACGAAAGUGGACGUAUACGGUGUGACGCCUGCCCGGUGCCGGAAGGUUAAUUGAUGGGGUUAGCGGCAACGCGAAGCUCUUGAUCGAAGCCCCGGUAAACGGCGGCCGUAACUAUAACGGUCCUAAGGUAGCGAAAUUCCUUGUCGGGUAAGUUCCGACC